UGAAUACGAGACGCUACGGCGUCGAAGCAGUCGAUGUCAUACUUCCAAGAAAAGCUUGCAAUGUCAUAAACAAAUAAUGCCUGUACCAUAACCGACACAGGUGGGUAGGUAGAGUAUACUAAGGGGCGCGAGAUAACUCUCUCUAAGGAACUCGGCAAAAUGACUCCGUAACUUCGGGAGAAGGAGUGCCUUAUUUAUAAGGUUGCAAUAACAAGAUCCAAGCAACUGUUUAUCAAAAACACAGGUCUCCGCUAAGUCGUAAGACGAUGUAUGGGGGCUGACGCCUGCCCAGUGCCAGAAGGUUAAAGAAGUUGGUUAGCAUCCGCGAAGCUGAUAACUGAAGCCCUGGUGAACGGCGGCCGUAACUAUAACGGUCCUAAGGUAGCGAAAUUCCUUGUCGGGUAAGUUCCGACCCGCACGAAAGGCGUAAUGAUUUGGAUACUGUCUCGGAGAGGGACUCGGUGAAAUAGACUUGUCUGUGAAGAUGCGGACUACCUGCACCUGGACAGAAAGGCCCUAUGAAGCUUUACUGUAACUUGAAAUUGAAAUUGGACUUUAUUUGCGCAGUAUAGGUGGGAGGCGUUGAGAAUAUUCUUGCGGGAAUAUUGGAGCCAUCAGUGAGAUACCACUCUUGUAAUGUUAGAUUUCUAACUUUGCAUCAUUAUCUGGUCAAAGAACAGUUUCAGGCGGGCAGUUUGACUGGGGCGGUCGCCUCCCAAACGGUAACGGAGGCGUACAAUGGUUUCCUCUGAACGGGUAGAAAUCGUAUCUAGAGUGUAAAGGCAUAAGGAAGCUUGACUGUGAGACCUACAAGUCGAGCAGGGACGAAAGUCGGUCUUAGUGAUCUGACGGUGCCGAGUGGAAAGGCCGUCACUCAACGGAUAAAAGUUACUCUAAGGAUAACAGGCUGAUCUCCCCCAAGAGUUCACAUCGACGGGGAGGUUUGGCACCUCGAUGUCGGCUCAUCGCAUCCUGGGGCGGUAGUACGUCCCAAGGGUUGGGCUGUUCGCCCAUGAAAGCGGUACGCGAGCUGGGUUCAGAACGUCGUGAGACAGUUCGGUCCAUAUCCGGUGUAGGCGUUAGAAUAUUGAGAGGAGCCUUCUUUAGUACGAGAGGACCGAGAAGGACAUACCUCUGGUGUACCAGUUAUCGUGCCAACGGUAAACGCUGGGUAGCUAUGUAUGGAGAGGAUAACCGCUGAGAGCAUCUAAGUGGGAAGCCCACCUCAAGAUAAG
This 1235-nucleotide ribosomal RNA is filed under the name metagenome. RNAcentral describes it as "bacterial LSU rRNA". It matches the Rfam family "Bacterial large subunit ribosomal RNA", at positions 1564 to 2808 of the family's 2925-position model. The record is from RNAcentral.